AGGUUCAGAUGCAGCAGUCUGGGGGAUUAGGGGAUGAAGCCUGUGUUCUCAGUGAAGAUGUCCUGUAAGGGUUCUGGCUACAGCUUUACCAACUACUAUAUGCCCUGGGUAAAAUAGUGGACUGGACACAACCUUGAGUGGAUUGGAUGGAUUCAUCCUGGAAAUGGUGAUACUUACUACAAUCAAAAGUUCAAGGGAAAGGCAACACUGACCAAGUACAAAUUCUCCAGCACAGCCUACUUACAUCACAACAGCCUGACAUCUGAGCACCCAGUAGUUUAUAAAUAUGCAAGA
Non-coding RNA from Mus musculus (house mouse), 294 nucleotides. NCBI's taxonomy places the organism in Eukaryota, Metazoa, Chordata, Mammalia, Rodentia, Muridae. The record is from the annotation of a RefSeq genome assembly.